ACAUUCUAACAUGGUGGUGAACAUAUAUAAAGUGUAAAUGUCUUUUCUAUUCGAUUGUCUAUUUUUUUUAGGUGAUAUUAGUCUAAUUAUUAUUGCUACAAUUAUAUUUCUUACUUGUGAAUUGAUUAUACAUGUUGUCUUUGAGGGUGCCAAGGUCGUUACCAAAUUCACCUGUUCUUGAACUAUGUUCUUUGUUCUUCCUCUAUUUUAUUGUUUAGUUUAUCACAAAUUGGUUUGUGUUUUAUUUUAUAAAAAGAAGAUUGUAGAUUUACAAA
Molecule: long non-coding RNA, 275 nt
Filed under: Lathyrus oleraceus (garden pea)
Lineage: Eukaryota; Viridiplantae; Streptophyta; Magnoliopsida; Fabales; Fabaceae
Description: Pisum sativum (pea) long non-coding RNA (PSAT_LNC026669)
Source: RNAcentral